UACGAAGGGGGCUAGCGUUGUUCGGAAUUACUGGGCGUAAAGCGCACGUAGGCGGAUUUGUUAGUCAGGGGUGAAAUCCCGGGGCUCAACCUCGGAACUGCCUUUGAUACUGCAAGUCUUGAGUCCGGAAGAGGUGAGUGGAAUUCCUAGUGUAGAGGUGAAAUUCGUAGAUAUUAGGAGGAACACCAGUGGCGAAUGCGGCUCACUGGUCCGGUACUGACGCUGAGGUGCGAAAGCGUGGGGAGCAAACAGG
RNAcentral lists this ribosomal RNA (253 nucleotides) under uncultured bacterium. RNAcentral describes it as "partial 16S ribosomal RNA". It matches the Rfam family "Bacterial small subunit ribosomal RNA", at positions 524 to 776 of the family's 1533-position model. The record is from RNAcentral.